UUGCCCUACGGGGCGCAGCAGUGAGGAAUAUUGGUCAAUGGCCGGAAGGCUGAACCAGCCAUGCCGCGUGAAGGUCAGUGCCCUAUGGGCGUUAAACUUCUUUUGUGCGGGAGCAAUAAUGGUCACGUGUGGCCAGACGAGAGUACCGUACGAAUAAGCAUCGGCUAACUCCGUGCCAGCAGCCGCGGUAAUACGUAGGUGGCGAGCGUUAUCCGGAAUGAUUGGGCGUAAAGGGUGCGUAGGCUGCCUGCUAAGUCUGGAGUGAAAGGAACCGGCUCAACCGGUACAGGCUCUGGAAACUGGCG
RNAcentral lists this ribosomal RNA (305 nucleotides) under uncultured bacterium. RNAcentral's name for it is "bacterial SSU rRNA". It matches the Rfam family "Bacterial small subunit ribosomal RNA", at positions 334 to 638 of the family's 1533-position model. The record is from RNAcentral.